This 857-nucleotide ribosomal RNA is filed under the name uncultured bacterium. Its description in RNAcentral is "bacterial SSU rRNA". It matches the Rfam family "Bacterial small subunit ribosomal RNA", at positions 61 to 906 of the family's 1533-position model. The record is from RNAcentral.
GUCGAGGGGCAGCGGGGAGUGAGGCUUGCCUUACUUUGCCGGCGACCGGUGCACGGGUGAGUAACACGUAUGCAACCUACCCUUUACAGCGGGAUAACCGGAAGAAAUUUCGCCUAAUACCGCAUAUACUCCUUGGGAGGCAUCUUCCGAGGGGGGAAGAAUUUCGGUGAAGGAUGGGCAUGCGUCGCAUUAGUUAGUUGGCGGUGUAACGGACCACCAAGGCGACGAUGCGUAGGGGUUCUGAGAGGAAGGUCCCCCACACUGGUACUGAGACACGGACCAGACUCCUACGGGAGGCAGCAGUGAGGAAUAUUGGUCAAUGGCCGAGAGGCUGAACCAGCCAAGUCGCGUGAGGGAAGAAUGUCCUAUGGAUUGUAAACCUCUUUUGUCAGGGAGCAAAGUCACCCACGUGUGGGUGUUGGAGAGUACCUGAAGAAAAAGCAUCGGCUAACUCCGUGCCAGCAGCCGCGGUAAUACGGAGGAUGCGAGCGUUAUCCGGAUUUAUUGGGUUUAAAGGGUGCGUAGGCGGGUUAUCAAGUCAGCGGUAAAAUCGUGGAGCUCAACUCCAUCCAGCCGUUGAAACUGAUGAUCUUGAGUGGGCGAGAAGUAUGCGGAAUGCGUGGUGUAGCGGUGGAAUGCAUAGAUAUCACGCAGAACUCCGAUUGCGAAGGCAGCAUACCGGCGCCCGACUGACGCUGAAGCACGAAAGCGUGGGUAUCGAACAGGAUUAGAUACCCUGGUAGUCCACGCAGUAAACGAUGAAUACUAAUUGUGUGCUCCGAAUGAGGAGUGCGUGAUACAGCGAAAGCGUUAAGUAUUCCACCUGGGGAGUACGCCGGCAACGGUGAAACUCAAAG